This 473-nucleotide ribosomal RNA is filed under the name uncultured bacterium. RNAcentral describes it as "partial 16S ribosomal RNA". It matches the Rfam family "Bacterial small subunit ribosomal RNA", at positions 355 to 815 of the family's 1533-position model. The record is from RNAcentral.
UGAGGAAUAUUGCACAAUGGGCGCAAGCCUGAUGCAGCCAUGCCGCGUGUGUGAAGAAGGCCUUCGGGUUGUAAAGCACUUUCAGCGAGGAGGAAGGUGGUGAGCUUAAUACGCUCAUCAAUUGACGUUACUCGCAGAAGAAGCACCGGCUAACUCCGUGCCAGCAGCCGCGGUAAUACGGAGGGUGCAAGCGUUAAUCGGAAUUACUGGGCGUAAAGCGCACGCAGGCGGUUUGUUAAGUCAGAUGUGAAAUCCCCGGGCUCAACCUGGGAACUGCAUUUGAAAACUGGCAAGCUAGAGUCUCGUAGAGGGGGGUAGAAUUCCAGGUGUAGCGGUGAAAUGCGUAGAGAUCUGGAGGAAUACCGGUGGCGAAGGCGGCCCCCCUGGACGAAGACUGACGCUCAGGUGCGAAAAGGCGUGGGGAGCAAAACAGAUUAGAUACCCUGGUAGUCCACGCUGUAAAACGAUGUCGA